RNAcentral lists this ribosomal RNA (253 nucleotides) under uncultured bacterium. Its description in RNAcentral is "partial 16S ribosomal RNA". It matches the Rfam family "Bacterial small subunit ribosomal RNA", at positions 524 to 776 of the family's 1533-position model. The record is from RNAcentral.
UACGAAGGGGGCUAGCGUUGCUCGGAAUCACUGGGCGUAAAGCGCACGUAGGCGGAUUGCUAAGUCAGGGGUGAAAUCCUGGAGCUCAACUCCAGAACUGCCUUUGAUACUGGCGACCUUGAGUCCGGGAGAGGUGAGUGGAACUGCGAGUGUAGAGGUGAAAUUCGUAGAUAUUCGGAAGAACACCAGUGGCGAAGGCGGCUCACUGGACUGGUAUUGACGCUGAGGUGCGAAAGCGUGGGGAGCAAACAGG